Molecule: ribosomal RNA, 468 nt
Filed under: uncultured bacterium
Lineage: Bacteria
Description: partial 16S ribosomal RNA
Rfam family: Bacterial small subunit ribosomal RNA
Source: RNAcentral
GACGAACGCUGGCGGCGUGCUUAACACAUGCAAGUCGAACGGAAAGGCCCUGCGUUUUUGGGGUUCCCGAGUGGCGAACGGGGGAGGAACACGUGAGUAACCUGCCCUUGAUUUUGGGAUAGCUUAAGGUAACUGGGGCUAAGAUCGGAUAGGAGCUCCUGUACCAGGGUGGGGGUUGGAAAGUUUCGGCGGUUGGGGUUGGAUUCGCGGCUUAUCAGCUUGUUGGUGGGGUAGGUGCUUACCAAGGCUUUGACGGGUAGCCGGCCUGAGAGGGUGACCGGCCACAAUGGGACUGAGAUACGGCCCAGAGUCCUACGGGAGGCAGCAGUGGGGAAUAUUGCACAAUGGGCGGAAGCCUGAUGCAGCAACGCCGCGUGCGGGAUGACGGCCUUCGGGUUGUAAACCGCAUUCGCCUGUGACGACGCGUGAGUGACGGUAAUGGAUAAAGAAGCACCGGCUAACUACGUG